This 484-nucleotide ribosomal RNA is filed under the name uncultured bacterium. RNAcentral describes it as "partial 16S ribosomal RNA". It matches the Rfam family "Bacterial small subunit ribosomal RNA", at positions 30 to 507 of the family's 1533-position model. The record is from RNAcentral.
AUUGAACGCUGGCGGCAGGCCUAACACAUGCAAGUCGAGCGGAUGAAGGGAGCUUGCUCCUGGAUUCAGCGGCGGACGGGUGAGUAAUGCCUAGGAAUCUGCCUGGUAGUGGGGGAUAACGUCCGGAAACGGGCGCUAAUACCGCAUACGUCCUGAGGGAGAAAGUGGGGGAUCUUCGGACCUCACGCUAUCAGAUGAGCCUAGGUCGGAUUAGCUAGUUGGUGGGGUAAAGGCCUACCAAGGCGACGAUCCGUAACUGGUCUGAGAGGAUGAUCAGUCACACUGGAACUGAGACACGGUCCAGACUCCUACGGGAGGCAGCAGUGGGGAAUAUUGGACAAUGGGCGGAAGCCUGAUCCAGCCAUGCCGCGUGUUUGAAGAAGGUCUUCGGAUUGUAAAGCACUUUAAGUUGGGAGGAAGGGCAGUAAGUUAAUACCUUGCUGUUUUGACGUUACCAACAGAAUAAGCACCGGCUAACUUCGUG